RNAcentral lists this ribosomal RNA (439 nucleotides) under uncultured bacterium. Its description in RNAcentral is "partial 16S ribosomal RNA". It matches the Rfam family "Bacterial small subunit ribosomal RNA", at positions 339 to 795 of the family's 1533-position model. The record is from RNAcentral.
CUACGGGUGGCUGCAGUGAGGAAUAUUGCACAAUGGGGGAAACCCUGAUGCAGCAACGCCGCGUGGAGGAUGACGCAUUUCGGUGUGUAAACUCCUUUUAUAUGUCAAGAAAAUGACGGUAGCAUAUGAAUAAGCACCGGCUAACUCCGUGCCAGCAGCCGCGGUAAUACGGAGGGUGCAAGCGUUACUCGGAAUCACUGGGCGUAAAGGACGCGUAGGCGGGUUGUCAAGUCAGGUGUGAAAUCCUACAGCUUAACUGUAGAACUGCACUUGAAACUGGCAGCCUAGAGUAUGGGAAAAAAAGAUGGAAUUAGUAGUGUAGGGGUAAAAUCCGUAGAUAUUACUAGGAAUAUCAAAAGCGAAGGCGAUCUCCUGGAACAUUACUGACGCUAAGGCGUGAAAGCGUGGGGAGCAAACAGGAUUAGAUACCCCGGUAGUC